AACGAACGCUGGCGGCAUGCCUAACACAUGCAAGUCGAACGAGGCCUUCGGGUCUAGUGGCGCACGGGUGCGUAACGCGUGGGAGCCUGCCCUUAGGUUCGGAAUAACUCCCCGAAAGGGGUGCUAAUACCGGAUAAUGUCUUCGGACCAAAGAUUUAUCGCCUUUGGAUGGGCCCGCGUUGGAUUAGCUAGUUGGUAGGGUAAAAGCCUACCAAGGCGACGAUCCAUAGCUGGUCUGAGAGGAUGAUCAGCCACACUGGGACUGAGACACGGCCCAGACUCCUACGGGAAGCAGCAGUGGGGAAUAUUGGACCAUGGGCGAAAGCCUGAUCCAGCAAUGCCGCGUGAGUGAUGAAGGCCUUAGGGUUGUAAAGCUCUUUUACCCGGGAUGAUAAUGACAGUACCGGGAGAAUAAGCUCCGGCUAACUCCGUG
This 433-nucleotide ribosomal RNA is filed under the name uncultured bacterium. RNAcentral describes it as "partial 16S ribosomal RNA". It matches the Rfam family "Bacterial small subunit ribosomal RNA", at positions 29 to 507 of the family's 1533-position model. The record is from RNAcentral.